This 532-nucleotide ribosomal RNA is filed under the name uncultured Blastococcus sp. Its description in RNAcentral is "bacterial SSU rRNA". It matches the Rfam family "Bacterial small subunit ribosomal RNA", at positions 355 to 897 of the family's 1533-position model. Lineage: Bacteria; Bacillati; Actinomycetota; Actinomycetes; Geodermatophilales; Geodermatophilaceae. The record is from RNAcentral.
UGGGGAAUAUUGCGCAAUGGGCGGAAGCCUGACGCAGCGACGCCGCGUGGGGGAUGACGGCCUUCGGGUUGUAAACCUCUUUCAGCAGGGACGAAGCGAGAGUGAUGGUACCUGCAGAAGAAGCACCGGCCAACUACGUGCCAGCAGCCGCGGUAAUACGUAGGGUGCAAGCGUUGUCCGGAAUUAUUGGGCGUAAAGAGCUCGUAGGCGGUUUGUUGCGUCGGCUGUGAAAUCCCGAGGCUCAACCUCGGGUCUGCAGUCGAUACGAGCAAACUAGAGUGUUGCAUGGGAGACUGGAAUUCCUGGUGUAGCGGUGAAAUGCGCAGAUAUCAGGAGGAACACCGGUGGCGAAGGCGGGUCUCUGGGCAACAACUGACGCUGAGGAGCGAAAGCGUGGGGAGCGAACAGGAUUAGAUACCCUGGUAGUCCACGCCGUAAACGUUGGGCGCUAGGUGUGGGGCUCAUUCCACGUGUUCCGUGCCGCAGCUAACGCAUUAAGCGCCCCGCCUGGGGAGUACGGCCGCAAGGCUAA